RNAcentral lists this small RNA (1479 nucleotides) under Pongo abelii (Sumatran orangutan). RNAcentral describes it as "retained intron". Lineage: Eukaryota; Metazoa; Chordata; Mammalia; Primates; Hominidae. The record is from RNAcentral.
AGGACGACGCUAUGGCUGAGCCUGGGCACAGCCACCAUCUCUCCGCCAGAGGCAGGGGAAGAACUGAGAGGCGCAUACCCCGGCUGUUGCGGCUGCUGCUCUGGGCUGGGACCGCCUUCCAGGUGACCCAGGGAACGGGACCGGAGCUUCACGCCUGCAAAGAGCCUUCUCCUGCAACGCCGGGGAGUUUCUGGAUAUGAAGAACCAGUCGUGUAAGCCAUGCGCUGAGGGCCGCUACUCCCUUGGCACAGGCAUUCGGUUUGAUGAGUGGGAUGAGCUGCCCCAUGGCUUUGCCAGCCUCUCAGCCAACAUGGAGCUGGAUGAAAGUGCUGCUGAGUCCACCGGGAACUGUACUUCGUCCAGGUGGGUUCCCCAGGGCGACUACAUCGCCUCCAACACGGACGAAUGCACAGCCACACUGAUGUACGCCGUCAACCUGAAGCAAUCCGGCACUGUUAACUUCGAAUACUACUAUCCAGACUCCAGCAUCAUCUUUGAGUUUUUCGUUCAGAAUGACCAGUGCCAGCCCAAUGCAGAUGACUCCAGGUGGAUGAAGACCACAGAGAAAGGAUGGGAAUUCCACAGUGUGGAGCUAAAUCGAGGCAAUAAUGUCCUCUAUUGGAGAACCACAGCCUUCUCAGUAUGGUCCAAAGUAUCCAAGCCUGUGCUGGUGAGAAACAUCGCCAUAACAGGGGUGGCCUACACUUCAGAAUGCUUCCCCUGCAAACCCGGCACGUAUGCAGACAAGCAGGGCUCCUCUUUCUGCAAACUUUGCCCAGCCAACUCUUAUUCAAAUAAAGGAGAAACUUCUUGCCACCAGUGUGACCCUGACAAAUACUCAGACACAGCUCAUGUACAAAUGGGCCAAGCCGAAAAUCUGUAGCGAGGACCUUGAGGGGGCAGUGAAGCUGCCUGCCUCUGGUGUGAAGACCCACUGCCCACCCUGCAACCCAGGCUUCUUCAAAACCAACAACAGCACCUGCCAGCCCUGCCCUUACGGUUCCUACUCCAAUGGCUCAGAUUGUACCCGCUGCCCUGCAGGGACUGAACCUGCUGUGGGAUUUGAAUACAAAUGGUGGAACACGCUGCCCACAAACAUGGAAACAACCGUUCUCAGUGGGAUCAACUUCGAGUACAAGGGCAUGACAGGCUGGGAGGUGGCUGGUGAUCACGUUUACACAGCUGCUGGAGCCUCAGACAAUGACUUCAUGAUUCUCACUCUGGUUGUGCCAGGAUUUAGACCUCCACAGUCGGUGAUGGCAGACACAGAGAAUAAAGAGGUGGCCAGAAUCACAUUUGUCUUUGAGACCCUCUGUUCUAUGAACUGUGAGCUCUACUUCAUGGUGGUACGUUUUCCUUUCUUUGCCCGCUAGAGGGCCUCCAGGGGAGGGUUAGCCCCAUCUGCCCCAUUGGUGUGUCCACGUGACUGACAGCCCCCUUGUAGUGAUUCCACAGAGGAAAGGCCCAGACUGACCAGCA